CGCUGGCGGCGUGCUUAAUACAUGCAAGUCAACUUGACUUAGAUAGCAAUAUCGAAAGUAGGGUGGCGCACGGGUGCGUAACGCGUAGGUAAUCUGCCCUGAGGUCUGACAUAACCCGUCGAAAGGCGGGCUAACAUCAGAUGAUAUAUAGUCACGACAUCGUGGAAAUAUCAAAUCUUCGGAGCCUUGGGAUGAGCCUGCGUCUGAUUAGGUAGUUGGCGGAGUAAUAGCCCACCAAGCCUACGAUCAGUAGCUGGUCUGAGAGGAUGAUCAGCCACACUGGAACUGAGACACGGUCCAGACUCCUACGGGAGGCAGCAGUAAGGAAUAUUGCUCAAUGGGGGAAACCCUGAAGCAGCAACGCCGCGUGAAGGAUGAAAUACUUUUGUAUGUAAACUUCUGUAAGAUGGGAAAAAUAUUCUCCUCGGGAGAAUUGAUUGUACCAUCAGAGUAAGCCCCGGCUAACUACGUG
RNAcentral lists this ribosomal RNA (472 nucleotides) under uncultured bacterium. RNAcentral describes it as "bacterial SSU rRNA". It matches the Rfam family "Bacterial small subunit ribosomal RNA", at positions 34 to 507 of the family's 1533-position model. The record is from RNAcentral.